This 483-nucleotide ribosomal RNA is filed under the name uncultured bacterium. Its description in RNAcentral is "partial 16S ribosomal RNA". It matches the Rfam family "Bacterial small subunit ribosomal RNA", at positions 30 to 506 of the family's 1533-position model. The record is from RNAcentral.
AUUGAACGCUGGCGGCAGGCCUAACACAUGCAAGUCGAGCGGAUGAGUGGAGCUUGCUCCAUGAUUCAGCGGCGGACGGGUGAGUAAUGCCUAGGAAUCUGCCUGGUAGUGGGGGACAACGUUUCGAAAGGAACGCUAAUACCGCAUACGUCCUACGGGAGAAAGUGGGGGAUCUUCGGACCUCACGCUAUCAGAUGAGCCUAGGUCGGAUUAGCUAGUUGGUGGGGUAAAGGCUCACCAAGGCGACGAUCCGUCACUGGUCUGAGAGGAUGAUCAGUCACACUGGACUGGAGAAACGGCCCAGACUCCAACGGGAGGCAGAAGUGGGAAAUAUUGGAAAAUGGGGGAAAGCCUACUCCAGCCAUGCGGGGUGUGUGAAGAAGGUCUUCGGAUGGUAAAGCACUUUAAGUGGGGAGGAAGGGCAGUAAGUUAAGACCUUGCUGUUUUGACGUAACCAACAGAAUAAGCACCGGCUAACUUCGU